This 2377-nucleotide long non-coding RNA is filed under the name Homo sapiens (human). RNAcentral describes it as "HSALNT0016539". Lineage: Eukaryota; Metazoa; Chordata; Mammalia; Primates; Hominidae. The record is from RNAcentral.
CAUGAAUCACCCAGCGCCCUGGUGAUUCAUGUGUACAUUAAAGUUUGCAAAUAGCCAUGAUUUUUCUGCUUCUUUAGGUAAUGGAGAGUCUUAUAAUGACUUUAGGCUACAAGUAUAGUUUCAAUUUCUAAAUCAGGAUGCCCAUUCUAGAUGUUAAUCAGACCUCCAGUCUUUAUCCAAAGGUCUUCCUGGGAGAUCAAUAACAGAUAUCUUAGAAGAUCAUCUUGAUCCUGCCCUCCUCUUAAAAGCUGGGGUACACGAAGAAGACAGUGGAGUCUACAGGCCAUAUGAGUCAAUUCCUCUCCCCUACACCAGAAAGUUGAGUCAUGAAUGAUUUUCACUCUCACCAAAAAGUCCUUGUUCUUCCCCAUCCCCCCGCAUCCUAGUUCUAAAUGGAAGUAGAUGGCAAAACAAGAACAAGGAUGUUGAUGUUGCCAAAAAGGUGUGAAUGAAAGAGAUACUGCUGCCCUAGCUCUCCUUUGAGUAACUAUUUCUCUUUUUUGUACUCUUAAAAAAUGAUCAACUGAUUUUUUAAAUGACCUGAGAUUCUUUGAUUACUAAGCCUCUUGCCACUAAUGUUAGUCACUUCCUGUCUAUAUCAAGAUGGCAGAAACCGGCCGGGCGCGGUGGCCCAAGCCUGUAAUCCCUGCACUUUGGGAGGCUGAGGCAGGUGGAUCACCUGAGGUCAGGAGUUCAAGACCAGCCUGGCCAACACGGUGAAACCCCGUCUCUACAAAAAUACAAAAAUUAGCCUGGCAUGAUGGCAGGUGCCUGUAAUCCCAGCUACUGGGGAGGCUGAGGUGGAAGAAUCACUUGAACCUGGGAGGCGGAGGUUGCAAUGAGCUGAGAUUGCUCCAGCCUGGGUGACAGAGUGAGAUGUGAGACUCCGUCUCAAAAAAAAAAAAAAAAAAAAAAAGCAGAAAUCUCAGGGAAACAAAAUCAGAAGGGGAAAAGAGCCUGGGCACUGAAAUAGAGUGCAGUUAGCUAGGAAAGGUGGCCUUGGAAGAGAGUUCUGAGAAGUGAGAUGAGCCUGCAUCAGAAAGCUGGAAAUCAGAGCCACAAAGGCCCUUGUAGACCAAGACCCCAGAACUGAAUUAUAGGCACCUGGACAUAUCUCUCAGAGUUAAGCAAAGAUCCACUGAGAUAAGUUUGAUUCUUCUUGUCUAAUUUUAAGUUAGCAUUUCCUCAGAUUAGACAUAUUGAUGCCUUCAUGUCAGGAAUGCUUUCAGAUAGCCAUCCCAAGUAUCCAACAGGCUAAAGCACUUCUUAACAAGACUUUCAUGUUCUGAUUCCUUCCUACUUCCCCAUAUUCAUCUCUGUCACCUCCUCCCUAAAAUACACCUACACAGAUACACAUAAACACACAUAAUUCUCCAACCACUCCCAAUUAUUUGUAGCUCCAUAAACACGCUACAGUCUUUCAUUUCUUUGUGUCUUUGCUUCCUCAGCCUACUUGCCAUACCCUCAAUCUUUCUCACAUCUCCAUGUGGUAGUUCUUGCUCUUCCUUAAAAAUUCAACUUUCUUCUCUGAAUUCCUAUCAUGUUUCAUAGAGCACUUAUCACAUUGCAGUGUAAUUUAUGUGUGCACCUGCCUGCCUGCCUGCCUCUCUGUAUAAUUUCAGUGGCUUUGUAAUAAUAAUAUGGUGAAGAACAAUAUUAAGAAGAAUAGGAUGAAGGCUGUUGAUAUUAUUCUGGUUAAUCACUCAGAAAGAAAUGGAAAAUCGGGUUGUGACGCAACAUCUAUCAAGCAGAAGUAAAGGAUGAGAGGGUACAGUUGUUACAGCUCUAAGCCUUAACAGUGAAACUUAACUGAAGAAGGAUAUGGACCUGAUGAGAACGAGGCCUCCUGAGGACAAAUCACACUAGCUCUGCAGAGGAUUGAUGGCUCCAGUAGGCAGAUGGGAAAACCCAUCAAAAUGGGACUUUCCAGGAACAUAACCAUGAAAUUGCAAUUGAAAUGGCUUCUCACUUUUCUUCUUUUAACUAAGUGAGAGUAAAGUCACCAUGCAGGAUGGCAUACUGAUCUGUGCAUGUGUGUAUCUUGGUGUAUUCAUGUUGGAAAGGCUCUUAAGAAAAAAGCUGCUAAGAAUGAGAACUCAAUUUUGAGGAUUUGUCUUAAAGUUUCUUCAAAAAGAUUUCUCAAUGCAAAUGGUACACUUAUUUAAUAUACGGCUAAGGUUAGCAUAGUCUGCCUGCUGCUACCACAGCCCAUCAGUCUGUCUAGCUGCACUGGGGCAGGGGGUGCACCUGGGUUAAGUCUAACAGAACUCUGACCCUUUUUUUUUUUUUUUUUUGAGAUGGAGUUUCACUCUUGUUGCCCAGGCUGGAGUGCAAUGGCACGAUCUCGGCUUACUGCAACCUCCGCCUUCCAGGUUCA